UUUGUCUCAUGACGCGCGCGAGAGAGAGAGAGACCCGCGCUUGACAUCAGAGAGCGCAACGCGGAACCACGGGCGGUGGGUGAGAACUGGCUGCUUCUCCCCAGAGCAUCCUCCCUCCGCUCAUCCCAUUAUUCUCAGUCCCGUGACACCGGAUGCUGCGGUCCAACCCGAGAGGAGAGUACGCAUCUCCAGUAAGAGCUACGUAGGAAGUCUGACGUAGAAGGGGAGGGAGCGGGAGAGAGACGGGACACUCGGAUGCAGGAGUAGAGCUGCUGCUGGCUUUGGGAGGCAGCGAUGACGCAGACACACCGCCUCCCUUGUUCACCCGGAACGUGCUUGUCAUGAAGAUCCGACGCUUUGCCUGUGUCAGAGAGUCCUCCGCAGUAGGAGAGUCAGAGAGAAUUAAAGGGAAAGUGGAUAGAAAUCCAGUAAAAGGCCGGAAUUAAAAGGUCGGCCUUGUGUAAGUGCAGAGCUAAUCAUUUGGUUUUAUGUCGGCCAACCUCAUGGCAACAGCCAAAGGAUGUACACCGCUGUUUCGGGCGUCGCCAUGAGGUUGAUCGGCCAAACCCCGAUACAUUGGAAUCAUGACAGAUUCUAAUGGGCCCAUUAAUGAAUCAUUACGAGCGGACACCAAUGUGUGGCAGCUACAGGGUCACUGAUGUCCCCAAUGGAUGUGGCUCCUCUCCAGCAACAACCCCCCCACCCGCCCUGGCAAGCUGUCCGCUACAGUAUAUCCUCCACCCAUUUCUCAGGCAUUCACAGCGGGCACGGCGAGGCAAGGAGAUGGGCCUCGGGGCCGCAGGGCCUCGUGACCCACUUACAACCCCCCCGAGACUGAUCGGCAUCGGCCUGCCAGUUACAGUUAUGUAACUGAUGCUGGGAAAAGCAAGGAGAAGAAUUACAAGAGUAAAAAAAAAGAAAGGAGUCCAAUGUCUACCAGUGAAGGGGCUCGUCAGAGAGGAUCAUCCCAUCAGAUGGGAUCUGGGCGGGAUGUCGGAUGCUCACACUAAUACCACGAUUCUGCUGCUGUUACACGGUUUAUGAAUCAAUUUUCACUGCACCGAUCGGGGGAAUUAGACUCGACCAACUCCAAUCAGAGUGUUAGCAAUGCUAACAUGGUACGGCUCUCGUUCCACCACAACAGUGCAAUGGAUUGACAUCCACGGUCCCCAGAGGAUGAAUCCUACGGACUACUGAAGAGAGUCGGCUCUGAUGGACAUUUUAGCAUGUUGCCAAGCUAACCUGAUGUUAAGAUGUUCGUCAUGGUCAACAUUCGACCUUUUGAACAUAUUUGUUUAAAUAUUUUUACUGUGUGCAUGUUAACAAGGUACUGUUAGCAAUACAGUGUGACAGUUGUAGUAGUCUCAACAACUAAGUUGUAACACAAACUGUUUUUUGUUUUUUGUAGAUGAAUGCCCUCAUUGGACAGUCACCCAUGGAGUAAAAAAUUGACAUUUGAGGUGCAAAUCAUGCACAUUUUCAACAGUUUGUUUUUACAAUUACCAUUAUAUUAUUAUAAUUAGAUUAUAUUUGUGUGAUCAGGUUUUAUUUUUUCUUCCUAAUACCAGUAACAUAUAGCAUAAACUGAGUAUUCAGUAGUAACUGAAAUGUUUGAAAUGAACACUCUCAUCACAUUGCAUACGCAAGCACAAUAAUUACAUUUUACAUGAAUAUUUUGCGCAGGCCCCCACUGAGAGACACCUACGCCCAUCACUGCGGGCAAGCACCAUCCCCACCGCGGCUUUCCCCCUCAUCACUCCGCUCCGCUUCUCGAGCUGUGAUCUGAUUGGCUGUUGGAGGGGUGAGGCUCACUGCAGAGGCAAGAACAGCGGGUGCAGGGUGGGGUGGGCUUCCCCCUCUAGGCACGACUCACACACACAUAACCAACCACCCACCUACACACACACACACACACACGCAGGGAAUCCCUCCUCACUGUUUGCCGCAUGUCUCGUUUUCCAUUACACGCCGCCAUCGAAUCGUUCACCGCAUAAUCACGUUGGGAAGCAGUGCGCACCAAAUGUGAUUGAGUGGUUUUGGUAAUCUGAGGUUUCUUUUUUCUUCUAAGGUUUACCAGAUUUCACCUUUUGUCAGGAGGAGUUUGAGCGUGACUCCCAGCGCUGUGUUAUUUAUAGGGGGGGUCUGGGGUCCAGAGCUGAUGGUUAUGCACGGCUCUGCCAUCACAGGGUAAGACGACACACACCGGGAGGCAGCUGUCGAGCUAAGCUUGGGUUUCACUGAUGUGUGAGAUUGGCGGUGUUUGUUUGUGACAGCAGCGAAGUUGGCAUGAGGGAGCCCCCAGUGGAUUGGGAGAGGGACGUAUUUCCAGUUCUGUGUUGUGAGGGUGUGUUUGUGUGUUGUGAAUGUUAGUAUGCGUGCGUCAGAGGGAGGAACACAGACACUGAAAGGGCACAGCGACCUUUUGUAUACUGUUAAAAUGUAUAAACAUUCUCAAUGUGAAUGUGGGAUAUUUAUACUGGUACGGACGGGUUAAUGUUUUAGGAACGAAAGGAUGCCACACAACUGUGGGUUUCUACAGUGCCAUUAUUUCAGACAAAGCUACUGAUGUAGCUAGAGAGAGUAUGUCGUGUGACAUAAAAGAUACAUCUCAUGCAAAAAGCAAAUUUAUCAAAUUAAAUGUUAAUGCGUUGUAAAAAAAAAGAAUAUAACACAACAUUAAUGUGGAUUUGUGCAUUUUGCCUUUUGGAAAGCCCACUGCACUGCAGCCCUUCUAAUAAUAACUGACCGUGAUAUGAAUGGAGAAGUCCAUAUUUGGUGAAGGAGCACGGAGGUGGGGGGUUAUCUCAUGCCCUAACGGUCACAGAUGACAUCAGUCUGGACUGAUCUGGACACUCUUACUCUCCCCCUUAUCUGCGAGAGAGACGAGGGUUGCGGUAGUUGUGUUGUGGCCGUGCACGGUGCCAGGAAGCGCGAGGCGGCCCGAAGCACGGCCACACUGUUACCCGAGGAAUGGGAGGAAUGUUUGAGGACCCAAUGUGAGAGACACGCGGAUCCCUUCGGCUCUGAUGAAAUCAUUUAAGACCAGUUGUGGGUUUUUAGAUCAGGUGAUUACAAUGCGUGUGUGUUGUGUGCGAGUUCGGUCGUCAGGUGACUGAUGGCAGGGCCAUCGAUAAGACCUGUAAAGCGAUCAGCUGAUUCCUUCAGCCCCUAUUUUUAGAAAGGAAUGUGUUGCACACGGUAAAACAUUUCAAGUCAGUUAAACAUGCAAAUGAAAGUUCACCUGCUGCCUUGAAAAUGUGAGUCAACAAAAUGUGAAGAUUGCCUUUGAUUUAACCCACAAAUCAAAGUUUAUUAAGUUGAUUUAAUUGAAAGGUUCUAGUUGUCUCAACUGUUUACUGUCUAAGUUGUUUUUUUUCACUUCUUGUUUGAACUUGAUAUAGCGAGUUAAAAGAAAAGAAUUGUUUUGCAUGUACCUGACUGACUGUUUGCUUUAAAACAAAAAACCUAAAUCAUCCAUAAUUCUUACUUCUGAUUUAAAAAAUAAAGCAUUCAUUUGCUGAAAAUAUACACAAGAUUUACAGUUGUGUUUAAGUACAUCUCAAACAUGCAAACACCCAGAUAGUUUAAAAACAAGUGCACAACGUACAAAUAGAGGCAAUCCGACAGAAGGUGGGGUUGUGGACUUAAGAAGGUGGGGUUGUGGACAUUUUCGUGGACCUCUUAAUUAUCUUCCAUUUGUCACUAUACAACCAUGAGAUAAUUAGAGGAGGUCCAUGAAAUCAACCAUGAAAAUGUUCUUUACUAAUACCUCAGACAGUCCAUAAAAUCAAUACAGUUAUACUUAUACAAAUACACACAAUAUUAAACAUUAUAUUAACAAAUGACCUAUGUUGACAACCAUGAGGAAAAAUAUGAGAUAAUAAAUGUAGGUUCAUAAAAUCUCAAUAUGACAUUAUAACAAAUCACCUUGCAAAAUGUGGAAUGCUGAGAACUUCAUGAAUUAGUUCUUACUUUUUUUUCUUUGUUGUAAUCUCUUCUUGUGUUUAAAAACCAACCUGAACUUACAGAACACUUUGGUAGGUUUUUAACUUUUACAUUCAUGAACCAAACAUGACGUGCGUAACAGGCGACGUCCAAGUAGUUUGCAUUGUUGCUGAUUAUUGGUACGGUUUAAUGUCUAUAACGACCUUUUCAAGGAACUCAAAGGUCAACUUCAGAAUUAAAUAUUCAAUUUAAAAAAGAAGUUAAAUAAAGAUUUGAAGAAAAAUAACGUAAAGGUAAAUACAUCAGCAGCUAAACAACUGUUACAUUAGUAACAUUAAACAUUAUGUUAAUUAAGAACUAGACAAUGCUUGCUGAAUGCGUUGGAAUGAGAUUGAGGAAGAAGGAUUUCAAAGUUGAAGAAGUUCUAGGGGGAUUUGAAAAAGAUCUCCAUUGAAAAAACAUGUUAAAAAUAUAAAUAUUAAUUGAUGUUAAAUCAAGCAUAAAAUGUACAAAGCUGAAAAUGAAUAUCUUACUGGGUCGACGGUUUUAAGAGCUGAAAAUUUGAAGGAGCUGAAAACGUUUGAAAUAUGCAUGGAAGAAAUAGAAAGAUAAAGAGCAAAAUAAAUUGAGUCAUAAUACUGUAAGUUUAACUUUCGAGAAGAGUUUAUAUACAUCUCUUCCUUUUUCGCAUGUCCUUAGGUGAAAUGCCAUCUUGCGUCAUGCCCGGUAGGAAAUUGUAAUUGCUCAUGACGAGUAAUCGUACAGCCGUGGCUGAUGUGAAUGAGUUAAGUCUGGCAAAGCUAUGAAAAUGUAUAAAAUGUUAAACAAAUGACUUUUUACCUAUUAAUGUCACUAGGUUGAGCCAGAAUCCGGCAGAAUCCUCCCCUGGGGAUUAUGAAUAUCUGGAUAAAAAUUAUAUUAAUGUUAUAUUGUAUAUUGUACCUGCUGAAGGUGUCCUCUCAUCAAUGUGUGAAUGAUGAUUUGUGUUUUAAAGCGCUUUGAGUGGUCAAAAGACAGUAGAAAAGUGACAUAAAAGCACAGUGUUUUUAGUCUUUUCAGGAGAUUUUAUGCCAGUAACAAAAAUAAAGAUUCCCGCCAACCAUGCACUUUUAUGGAACAACGGGUUCAGGUCAUUAUUCCAACACAUGAAUAAAAAAAGGAUCUGUACCACGACUUUGCUAACUAGAUCAGAUUUGAAUGUACUUGUUUCUUCAGCAUUCCAGAUUUUGUCAGCAUCAGCUAAUCAGAGAUGUGCUUGACAGAAGGAGACCUGGGGGAUGUGUGUAUUCAUCAUGCUGACGAGUGUGUGUGCCAUGUGUUGAUCGCAUGCAGAAUACAUAAAUUAUGUUAUGUUAAUUAUGCAUUUUCGCUCCAUAUAUUCAGCAUGUGUCAAUUUUUUGCACCACCGCUGGCAGGAUAAUUGGGUGUAUUGCAAACAUUUUUAAACAUUACUUUGUCUGAAGGAUCUCCACCAAAUGUGCCAGAACAGAAGAUAAAUGGUAUUAUACUUUGGGCCAAGACACAAGUAGAUGCAGUUUGAUUCAUUUCUGUCCCAACAUUUUUUGAAGGGUUCAAAUUACAAUAAUUCUUCAGAAAGUGGCAAUCAAGCCUCCCCUGUCAUAGCAAGAAGGCCAGCUGUGUGAAGGAAUUUGAAAUAGUUAAUCAAAGUGGUUUUCAUCAUUAUAAUUUUUAUAUAUUCAAAUUCUGGCUCCACCCACACGUAAUUGAUUUGUUUUUGGCACUGAAAUGAUAGAUCUUCAGCUGUGUUGUCGGCCACGUAUAUCCGUGGCAUUGAGGCUAUCCGUCAAUGCACGUGCAUGAAGACACGCAGCCUUAUGUGUUCCGUAUCCAUGGCAACGGGGCUCAUCCAUUAACCCUUCGCUCAGAAGAGUAUCUCGGGUAGACAGGCAAUGAUGUAUUUUCAAGUGAAUGCAAACACCAUCAGCAAGAACAAAUACACGAUGGGGUAAUUUGCUGACGUCCUGUUUGCCCCAAGGGGACCAAUAUCCCCCCAAAAUCGUUUCGGAGUACUGAGUAAACUUUGCACAGUGUUAAUUGUGUUUGAAGUUGCUUUGGAGCCAAACAUCAUCAGACGCGUCAGGCUCGCGGCUGAAAUCUGCUUUCUUUCAUUGUCAUAACCGCCAUUUUCACUCACCUUCUCCAGCUCCACCUGCUCUCCCUCUCUCCUCGACCUGUUCCUCUCAAUUCGUUUCAUCAGUCAGAGGCAAAAUCCGUUACAGAGAGACAGUGUGUGGUCAAAGGCCGAGUGUUUCCAGAGAACAUGCCUAAGAGAUUCUGUACGGUAUUGUAUCAUUUGUUCAGCGACUUUAUGCAUUUUUGGUGAUUUUUUUUGCGGCCUUUCUCCAUGAAGGUCGAAGGUCAGGGUCAGAUACAGUGCACCCUUCAGGUAAGCUUAUCAAUAGUUAGUGCUUUCCAACAUGAAGGUCAAAAUCCCGCCAUCUCUUUAAACAUGUGACCUCCCGGCCCUGAUCCGCCCCCCUCCCCCGUUCCCCAGGGCCGACGCUAAGCUUCCUACCUACAAUCUGUCUCUCACGCCCAUCCACACACACACACACACACACACACACACACACACACACACACACACACACACCUUACACCACAUGCUCAGAGAAUACAUUGGGCGACAGGGAGAUGAAAGCAGUGAGAGAUUUGUCACGACAUCCUCACUGCUUGCAGGUUCAUAUCAUGGUGAAAGGCGUGAAAGUAACCAGUAAUAGAUUACAAAUAGUUGAUCAAGAAAUGAAAUAUUUAAUUGUGUGGUCAUAGUGAUAAUGUCUGCUUAUGUUGU
Gasterosteus aculeatus aculeatus (three-spined stickleback) is the source of this 6757-nucleotide non-coding RNA. NCBI's taxonomy places the organism in Eukaryota, Metazoa, Chordata, Actinopteri, Perciformes, Gasterosteidae. The record is from RefSeq and is a predicted model, not a curated record.